RNAcentral lists this ribosomal RNA (253 nucleotides) under uncultured bacterium. RNAcentral's name for it is "partial 16S ribosomal RNA". It matches the Rfam family "Bacterial small subunit ribosomal RNA", at positions 524 to 776 of the family's 1533-position model. The record is from RNAcentral.
GACAGAGGGUGCAAACGUUGCUCGGAAUCACUGGGCGUAAAGGGCGUGUAGGCGGGAAGGAAAGUCAGAUGUGAAAUCCCCAGGCUCAACCUGGGAACUGCAUUUGAAACUCCCUUUCUUGAGUACCGGAGAGGAAAGUGGAAUUCCUGGUGUAGAGGUGAAAUUCGUAGAUAUCAGGAGGAACACCAGUGGCGAAGGCGGCGACCUGGGUAGAUACUGACGCUGAGGCGCGAAAGCGUGGGGAGCAAACAGG